GCUGGCGGCGUGCCUCAGACAUGCAAGUCGAACGCGAAAGCUCCCUUCGGGGAGCAAGUAGAGUGGCGCACGGGUGAGUAACACGUAGGUAAUCUACCUUUGGAUUGGGAAUAACAACCGGAAACGGUUGCUAAUACCGAAUAAUGCAGCGGCACCUAAUGGUGACAGUUGUUAAAGCGGGGGAUCGCAAGACCUCGCGUCUGAAGAGGAGCCUGCGGCGGAUUAGCUAGUUGGUAAGGUAACGGCUUACCAAGGCGAUGAUCCGUAGCCGGCCUGAGAGGGCGGUCGGCCACACUGACACUGACAUACGGGUCAGACUCCUACGGGAGGCAGCAGUCGGGAAUUUUGGGCAAUGGGCGAAAGCCUGACCCAGCAACGCCGCGUGAAGGAUGAAAUCCUUCGGGAUGUAAACUUCGCAAGAACAGGAAGAAUAAGUAAGAGUUAAUAUCUCUUACGAUGACGGUACUGUUUGUAAGCUCCGGCUAACUCCGUGCCAGCAGCCGCGGUAAUACGGGGGGAGCAAGCGUUGUUCGGAUUUACUGGGCGUAAAGGGGGGGGGUAGGCGGCCACCGCAAGUCAGUUGUGAAAUCUCCGGGCUUAACCCGGAAAGGUCA
Molecule: ribosomal RNA, 614 nt
Filed under: uncultured soil bacterium
Lineage: Bacteria
Description: bacterial SSU rRNA
Rfam family: Bacterial small subunit ribosomal RNA
Source: RNAcentral